This 441-nucleotide ribosomal RNA is filed under the name uncultured bacterium. RNAcentral describes it as "partial 16S ribosomal RNA". It matches the Rfam family "Bacterial small subunit ribosomal RNA", at positions 339 to 795 of the family's 1533-position model. The record is from RNAcentral.
CUACGGGAUGCAGCAGUGGGGAAUAUUGGGCAAUGGGCGCAAGCCUGACCCAGCAACGCCGCGUGAGGGAAGAAUGUCUUCGGAUUGUAAACCUCUGUCCUUGGGGACGAAAAAAAUGACGGUACCCAAGGAGGAAGCUCCGGCUAACUACGUGCCAGCAGCCGCGGUAAUACGUAGGGAGCAAGCGUUGUCCGGAAUUAUUGGGCGUAAAGGGUGCGUAGGCGGCGUUGUAAGUCAGAUGUGAAAUCCCCGGGCUUAACUCGGGAGUUGCAUUUGAAACUACAGUGCUUGAGUAAAGAAGGGGUAAGUGGAAUUCCUAGGGUAGCGGUGGAAUGCGUAGAUAUUAGGAGGAACACCAGUGGCGAAGGCGACUUACUGGUCUUUUACUGACGCUGAGGCACGAAAGCGUGGGGAGCAAACAGGAUUAAUACCCGAGUAGUC